This 443-nucleotide ribosomal RNA is filed under the name uncultured bacterium. RNAcentral's name for it is "partial 16S ribosomal RNA". It matches the Rfam family "Bacterial small subunit ribosomal RNA", at positions 338 to 795 of the family's 1533-position model. The record is from RNAcentral.
CCUACGGGAGGCAGCAGUGGGGAAUAUUGGGCAAUGGGCGCAAGCCUGAUCCAGCAACGCCGCGUGAAGGAAGAAGGCUUUCGGGUUGUAAACUUCUUUUCUGAGGGACGAAGAAAGUGACGGUACCUCAGGAAUAAGCCACGGCUAACUACGUGACAGCAGCCGCGGUAAUACGUAGGUGGCACGCGUUAUCCGGAUUUAUUGGGGGUAAAGGGCGUGUAGGCGGGAAAGCAAGUCAGAUGUGAAAACUCAGGGCUCAACCCGGAGCCUGCAUUAGAAACUGUUUUUCUUGAGUGCAGGAGAGGCAAGCGGAAUUCCGUGUGUAGCGGUGAAAUGAGUAGAUAUACGGAGGAACACCAGUGGCGAAGGCGGAUUGCUGGACAGUAACUGACGCUGAGGCGCGAAAGCGUGGGGAGCAAACAGGAUUAGAUACCCGAGUAGUC